Molecule: long non-coding RNA, 3706 nt
Organism: Pseudopipra pipra
Lineage: Eukaryota; Metazoa; Chordata; Aves; Passeriformes; Pipridae
Exons: 2
Source: RefSeq, a predicted model, not a curated record
GUUGCUGAGAGUCUCGGCUUCAGUGCCAUGCCAGGGAGCGGGGUGACUCCAGGCGCAGCCGCCGUGCUGGCUGCGGGGGAGCCCGCGGGCCAAUUCCUUUGGUUUCCUCCACGCCUUUGUGAUUGUCCUAGUAACUUAACUUCGCCAAAAAUGAAGUUAAGAGGAGGUUCAAGUUGGACAUCAGGAGGAAUUUCCCAGAAAGGGUAGUCAAACAUUGGAAUGGUCUGGCUGGUGGGGUGGUGGAGUCACCAUCCCAGGAGGUGUUCGAGGGAAGGCUGGACAUAGCACUUACUGCCAUAGUCUAGUUGACAAGAUGGUGAUCAGUCACAGCUUGAACCCUAUCGUUUCAGAGGUCUUUUCCAAACCAAUGGAUCUUGUGAUUCUGUAAAGGGGAUAUAUACCUAAUCCUAAAGUGGCAUAAGGAACAGCAAGAUCCCUGGAUGUUGGUCCUGGCUACUGCCAGUUAAUAUGGGCUGACUGAUAGAAUAGUUUUAAAAUCGUUAAUAGAAAACACCACCGUUCACAGUUCUUCUCACAUUUAGUGCUGCACAGUGCUUAUGGUUUUCUCCUAAUAACGCAUGGCCUCAGAAAUUGUGUUCCAGUGAUGUAUUCUAUUCUAAGUAUUUUGGGAUGACUAAAUCACUGGGCUGGAAUUUAUCAGCUGAAUAAGAAUAGUUUAUAAUAACCUGCAGAUUUUCAUAUGCAUAAAAUAUCCAUAACCCUUUCUCCACUUGGUCACUUGUAUUUUUUUUAUCUUUCAUGGAGCCGCGCAGGAUCCAUUUGUAACUUGAGUAUAAAGCAAGUAUCUUAUGUAUUGGUUAAUAUGCAUAGUAAAUGGCAUGGAUAGAUAGGCUGUUGGGCUGAAUAUUAAUAUGCUCACCUCCCACCUCUUCUCCCUCCACAUCACCCCAGGGCUUCCUCCUGGCUGGCAGUGGUCAGUUGCACAGGGAACUGUCAGGCUUAGCUGCUUGUAAAGAAAGGCCAAACCUCAUGACUACAGAAUUUCUGUCUUCCAGCUUUUUAUUUCAGGAUUUUCUACCUGUUCUCUUUGGUGUUUUCCUCAUUAGUCCUUGAAUUGCUAUUAUUGAUGUAACAAUUUCAAUCCCACUUUUUUACUGUUCUUCUCUUGCAUUACUUUAGCCUAUGUAAUGUCUCAGUAAUAGCUCAACAGCAAGUUUUUUUCAGUAAGUUGAGCAAGGGUCUGUGGCUGUGUUAAUAACCUGGCCUGUGCACAUAAUAAAGGAAAAUUUUCCACAAAGAAAAUUAUGAUAGAAGAAUGAAAUUUGGGAGAUUUCAAGAGUGCAUUAUGUGAUCAAAAAUGAACACUCUCACACUUCUGAAACGAGGCUUGUACAUACCUCCCUUUGCUUGCUUCAGUCGAAAAAUGAAAGCCAUCAGUAAGAUCUAGAAAACCAAGAUGAAACUGAUGGGGAAAAGGGCAAAUAUGUUGUAAGUGCUACUUAUCUUAAGACAGAGUAAAAGAAAUGUAUCAAGAAAAUUAAAUACAUACAGGGAAAACUCAGUGCAUCUACCACCCCAUAUGUGUUACUUAAAAAAACAGAAUCCAAAAGUUGUAACUGCCUAUAUUCUCAGGAUUGGGUCUGAAAAAGCUAGAACUGAUUCAAGUCAGUAAUUCUUUAGUGAUGUCCAAACUUCUUCCUCCAAGUCAUUGUAAUAUUUAUAUUUUUCUGUAUUUAUUAUAUAACUAAUAAUUUAGAACGAUUCUAUGUCCUCAGUAGCUCCACUGGUUCAAGUGACACAGUUUUGCUCACAUGGGUGAACAAGCUCAGUCUUAAUUUUCUGGAGUGUAAAGUGAUUUCCUAAGACAUGUUUGGAAAUUGCUAAUUGUUUUAAUAAAACUAAAGGAACCAGUUUUAUUCAUAUAGAAACAUAAAUGCUAUGUGAAGGAAAGGCAAAAGCCUUUGGAAAUGCACCAGAACUACAAUUUCAGAUUUGUCUUAAUAGCAAUUCUAUGUGACAAUAAGCUGAAAGUAACAUUUAAAUGAGAAAUGUGGUUAUUUUAAAUUUUUUUUAUAGUUUAAAGAUGAUGUAAAAAAGUGUUUUGGGAAAGAAGGGCUUUGGCCUGUCUUCCCAAAGUACAAAUUGAAGUGUGUUUGUUCACAAGCCCUACAAAUAAUUACGGGACCACUGGAUUUAAGACUACCAUUAACCCAUCUGAUCAUGCCACACCCAGCUAUUGGGCACAGCCUCUUGUUAAUGGCUUUAGGUGGUCAGGGAAUAAUAGGAUGUAUAUGACUGUUAAUAACCCUAAAUGUCAAAAUGGGUUUUUUGUGCUAAUAUAUUGCUUAUUGACUGCUUAUUGAAUGUGAUCGUGUUAUAAGUCAAUAGUUUAUAAAGAAGGCACCUACUUUUUCAUAAAAGUAUUUGAAUAUUAGAGCAUAUGUAAGUGAGAGUGGCUUGAAAUUUCACUCCAGCCAAGUUAAACCAAACUGCAGUUGUAGAAAGGAACUAAGUUUUACCCCAAAACAGCCUGUGAUCUAAUAGAAAAUAAUUUCCAGCAGCAGCACCCUCCAUCUGUGCCUUACUUGUGGUGUUAUGAAUUUGGCAACACCUCAGCAGUGAGCUACUGUUUAUAAGAAGAGAUCCCAGCAGCUAAAAGAAGCCAGUCAUUGGGAUGACUCACUACUUGCCUUGUGAACUGCUCAAGGGAAUUUCUUGAAGAACUAUGUCAAAAUCAGCUCUAGAAACCAUUAAUUUAAGAUCUUUCAUUGACACAUAACAAGUGCUGCUAGAUUAUUGUUGGUUAAGUUCGUGGGCUUGGAAGGAAGAUUCUUUUUGUCUGUACUGAGUGAAAAUUUUCCCCUUUUGUGCAAGGCAACAAGAGGAUAAAAAGGGCUUUUUUCCUCUCUGCAAGAAGAAAUCUGACGCAGUGUGAACCCAAUCAUCAAGGCACCAUGAACGCCUGCAGGAGGAUACAUUCUCUCCGUGCUCACAGGCAGAAAACCAACGGGAACAAAAGUGAGAACUUGCACACCACCUCUGGGUUCAAGCACCAGCAAGGAGAUGAUCUUGUUACAGUCCAUACCCUUUACACAGUGAUCAUUGUGAUCCUUCUAAUGGCACUUUGGGGAGCCUGGUCAAGAAAGAAUUCAUCCUUAUAGAAGCAAUUUAGCAGCUUUCUUUGUCAAGUAUUUAAAUAAGUAAUUGUGUUGGUUACUCAUACCCAAGAAGUACAAAUAAUGGUCUCCGCGUAUUUCUAUUUACUUGAAACUGCUUAAAUGGUUGCUACUUGUGGAAGUGAAUUUAACAGGCCAUGCACAGACCAUGAUUUGUGAAUGACAGAUGUUUGGCCUGUACAUGUGUAUAUUACCCUCAGCACGUAUAUGAAACUUUGAAGCACAAUAUUCUAGAAAGAAGAGUUCAACUUCUGUUUUAUUGGUCAACAUUUUUUAUGUCCACCCCAGCUUUCCAUUUUUGAGCUUAAACUGUGGAGUCUCUACCUCUGCUAAGAUUGCCUGUCCCAAUCCAUGGUAAAAUAUACACCAAAAGCAGGAAAAUAAUCUGCCAUGUCAUGACAACAUAAAAAAAAAAACCAAUAAAACCGGCUAUCCUGCAGGCAAAGAAGGGUCUCUGAACAUGUGAAAUUCAUCUACAUCGCUGAAGAGACUUUAUACAGGACUUGCAUCCACAUAUUUUUAAUUUAUGGUAAUGACUUUGUAAACUCAGGAAUAAAACCAUGAAAUAA